UUUCCUUAGAGGUUUCAAAAUCUAAUCUUACCACCUGUUCUUCAUUUACUAGCAGGAAUACUUCUGUAAAGAGAAAGUUUUCAUUAUUAUCUACUUGGCUGCCCUUAGGUACAUGUAAGAAAGUCAGGAUAAAUACUUUGUUUUCAAAUUUGUCCAUAAGUUUUCAAAACAAUGAAUUGAGUUGCUAGCAUCUUCCAAAGGUGAUUAAUCGAUGUGUUUCAAUCCACUAUAAUUAUCAUUCCUAUUGAUGCUCAAAUUCUGUCUUCAACCAGUGGGAGCUUCUGCAAGUUGGUUCCUGAGUCUUUUCAACAUGACAUUGGUAGUCUUUGACAGAAUCCUUGAUUUCUGGCUCAGUGUUUUCUUUGAUUACUUAUAUAUAAGGACCAGUUUCCAAGAUGCAAAUAUAAUUUAAAUUCAGACUUAGAAUAAUCUAUUGAAAAAAAUUCAGAGAACUACCCAAAAAACAUUCAGAAACAAUGCCAAGAGAAGCCAAUUACUGCAUAAUAUCCUCAUAAGAGUUUCUUCUGAAAUUUCUCUCUAUUCAUUCUUACUGAUGGAAAAAAGAAUUGUCCUUUGUUCGGAGGUCAUACAGGGGAAGUGGUGAAUACCAACAUCUCUGCCUGGGAGAAGCCCUAGAAAGUGUCUCAGCUUUCUUUUUGUUUGCUCCUCUGCCCUUGGGAGUGAGUAAGGUGAAAGAGUUUGGACCAGGAAGCAAUUGCUUCUCUUAUUCUAUUUAGUGUGUAUGUCCUGUCUGAGUAUUUGGCAAAAAAAUGACUCAUUCUCUGACCUUGUUUUAAAGCCCAGGUGUUGAUAUGUUAUCUCACAUUCCAGAGGAAAAAAUAUUGCAUUGUCAAUAUGUAAAAGUGUAAGAAGUAAAAAAAAUAUUGGUGUGGUCAUAGUAAGUGUAAGUUCAGUCCUUUAAGACUUUACUGGUAGAGGAGCAUUAACACAAGCUUUGGACUUAGAUGGGCUUGAGUUUAAAUUCUAGCUCUGCUACUUUCUCGCUGAGGGAUUUUGGCCAAGUUAUUUGUGUAAUCCCCUGCACUUGACUAACUGCUUUCCAACCAAAGAAUAUGGCAACUUAGAGAGGGUGUCACUUCCCUGAUUAGUUGACAAAAGAUUAUGACUUCUAUCUUACCAGAAGACUCUCUCUCCCUUGCUGAUUUUGGUGAAGCAAGCUGCCAUAGGAGGGAAGCUCUUCUGCCAUAGGAAAGAGGACCUGAGGGCAGGCUCUAGCCAAAGCUAGCAGGGAACUGAAACCUUCAGUUAAACAUCCCUCAGUGAAAUCAAUCCAGCCAACAAUCAUGUGUGUUAGCUUGGAAGCAGAUCCUUCUCUAGGCGAGCCUUCAGAUAACAUCCCAACUUUGACAGAUCUCCUGACUGCAGCCUUGUGAGAGACCAUGAAGUAGAGGAUCCAGUUAAGCCAUCCCUAGAACCUUGACCCACAGGUGGUUUUUUUGGGGGUGGGACGGGAGGAGUUAAUUGGUUAUUCAGCAAUAUGUAACACAAGUCCACAGGAGUCAUUACCAGAAGUGAUUCAGUGGAGGUGGAAUCAAGUGAACACUGUUGUGCAUGGACCCCAAGUGCUUCCAGUUCUAAUGGACGUUGAUAUCUAACACCGAACACUUUUCAUUUCUCUUUUAUUCUCCCAUUCUUUCCUCCCUUCUCUCUCUCUUUCUCUCCUUCCUUUCUUUCCUUCUACUCUUUCCCAUACUUUUAAUUAAUAAAGCAAUUGGAAAUAAAGUCAAUAGCAACACAAAAGAAAACCCCUGCAUCUGUAAAACAUUAUGAUUUGCACGUUUCCAUAAUGGCCUGCCCCGGGCUUCAUAUAUAGGCUUCCAGUGCAAACAAAGGUUUGGCUGUUGGUAUUACUGAAUUAUCAUGGAGUUGCAUCAUUGCUGUCCAUUCCAUUUUGUUUUCCUUUUUUUUUUUUAAUUUAUAGAAGUGUCUUUAUUCUUGUAUGGGAUUUGUGUACUCAUGUUCUCUCUCUCUUUUCUUCUGUAGGCAAUUUACAGCAAGGAUCUCUCAGUAUCACUUGCUGACUUCAAUUUGAAGAUGAUUUUUUUUGGGGCCGGCCCGGUGGUGCAGCGGUUAAGUGCCCACGUUCCGCUUCGGGCAGCCUGGGGUUCACCGGUUUGGAUCCCUGGUGUGGACAUGGCACCGCUUGUCAAGCCAUGCUGUGGUAGGUGUCCCACCUAUAAAGUAGAGGAAGAUGGGCACAGAUGUUAGCUCAGGGCCAGUCUUCCUCAGCAAAAAGAGGAGGAUUGGCUGCAGAUGUUAGCUCAGGGCUGAUCUUCCUCAAAAAAAAAAAAAAAACAUGAUUUUUUUCUGCAGGUACUCUCUCUACAAAAUUAAAAACUUUGAGCAUGUGGAAAUAACACCCAUGUUGUACAUUGUCUUACUGAUUUCCCCUAUCCUUUUCAUCUACAACAAUACCAGAAAGAUUGUCACUUUUGAGCAGUCUUUGCUUCUAUUUUGUCUGCACAAGUCGCUAAAGGAAUUAGGCAAGGACCAUUUCAAGUGAGUCCAUCUGUAUAAAACCUUGAAAAUAAUGUGAAGCCAGCCCUUGAUAAAUGGGGAUGGG
Molecule: long non-coding RNA, 2584 nt
Organism: Equus caballus (horse)
Lineage: Eukaryota; Metazoa; Chordata; Mammalia; Perissodactyla; Equidae
Source: Ensembl